GGUGGAGUGGCGCAAUGGUAGCGUGCGGUCCUCCUACUGGCUUCGGCAAGUUGUGAGAAUCUCGAUAGACUGAGGUUGUGGGUUCGAGUCCCAUCUCCAUCG
Molecule: transfer RNA, 102 nt
Organism: Coniochaeta ligniaria NRRL 30616
Lineage: Eukaryota; Fungi; Ascomycota; Sordariomycetes; Coniochaetales; Coniochaetaceae
Rfam family: tRNA
About the family: Transfer RNA (tRNA) molecules are approximately 80 nucleotides in length.
Source: Rfam